RNAcentral lists this ribosomal RNA (271 nucleotides) under Gammarus balcanicus. Its description in RNAcentral is "partial 16S ribosomal RNA". The record is from RNAcentral. Lineage: Eukaryota; Metazoa; Arthropoda; Malacostraca; Amphipoda; Gammaridae.
GCUAAGGUAGCAUAAUCAUUUGUUAUUUAAUUGGUAGCUAGAAUGAAAGGUUAAACUAGCUUAUUAGGUUUGUUAAACUAUGUAGAAGUUUAAAGUUAAGGUAAGAAUUCUUUAAUUUUCUAGGGGACGAUAAGACCCUAGAAGCUUAACAAGAGGUGAAUUAGUUUUAGAAAUUUAUUUGUUUUACUGGGGCGGUAAAGGUAAAUAAGCUAUUUGUUAGUUAGGAGAUCCUAAAAAUAUAGAUAAGAUGGGGAAGUUACUCUAGGGAUAA